Long non-coding RNA from Sardina pilchardus (European sardine), 385 nucleotides. RefSeq lists it as uncharacterized. The record is from RefSeq and is a predicted model, not a curated record. Lineage: Eukaryota; Metazoa; Chordata; Actinopteri; Clupeiformes; Clupeidae. The transcript has 3 exons.
AUUACUGUGGCUUAUUUGUGCACCUCUGAAUCCAGGCAGCACGGACCAGAGACCUGCUUCUUUGGAUGAAGCUUAGUGGUGGCGUUGGAAGACAGGAGAUAUAUGCUUUGGGUUUGCGUCAUCCACUACGUCAGCAAAGAACAGGAUCGGGGAAUGACUACAUGGCCAACUGCAUCUCGUGGAAGUUGUUCUGAAGAUGCGAUGCGUGAAGGAAGGAAGUCCACAAGCAUGUGUGCUUCAGAACUCUUUGACCAACCCCCAACUGAGAGAGCUGAGCGAAGUGGCUAUCAGUAAGUCUAUUUGUGGGGACAGACUUACUCUGACAGAUGACAUCUUACAAACUAUUCUGUAGAUCUCAUAAUGAUCUUGCAAUAUGUAUUCUUUU